GCGGGCGUAAGUUCAGUGGUAGAAUAGGGGCUUGCCAAGUCCCUAGUCGCGGGUUCGAAUCCCGUCGCUCGCU
RNAcentral lists this transfer RNA (73 nucleotides) under Candidatus Kuenenbacteria bacterium. Its description in RNAcentral is "tRNA-Gly". It matches the Rfam family "tRNA". From Rfam's summary of the family: Transfer RNA (tRNA) molecules are approximately 80 nucleotides in length. The record is from RNAcentral. Lineage: Bacteria; Candidatus Kueneniibacteriota.